RNAcentral lists this ribosomal RNA (468 nucleotides) under uncultured bacterium. Its description in RNAcentral is "partial 16S ribosomal RNA". It matches the Rfam family "Bacterial small subunit ribosomal RNA", at positions 28 to 507 of the family's 1533-position model. The record is from RNAcentral.
GACGAACGCUGGCGGCGUGCUUAACACAUGCAAGUCGAACGGAAAGGCCCUGCUUUUGUGGGGUGCUCGAGUGGCGAACGGGUGAGUAACACGUGAGUAACCUGCCCUUGACUUUGGGAUAACUUCAGGAAACUGGGACUAAUACCGGAUAGGAGCUCCUGCUGCAUGGUGGGGGUUGGAAAGUUUCGGCGGUUGGGGAUGGACUCGCGGCUUAUCAGCUUGUUGGUGGGGUAGUGGCUCACCAAGGCUUUGACGGGUAGCCGGCCUGAGAGGGUGACCGGCCACAUUGGGACUGAGAUACGGCCCAGACUCCUACGGGAGGCAGCAGUGGGGAAUAUUGCACAAUGGGCGGAAGCCUGAUGCAGCAACGCCGCGUGCGGGAUGACGGCCUUCGGGUUGUAAACCGCUUUCGCCUGUGACGAAGCGUGAGUGACGGUAAUGGGUAAAGAAGCACCGGCUAACUACGUG